Molecule: non-coding RNA, 13086 nt
Organism: Oryctolagus cuniculus (rabbit)
Lineage: Eukaryota; Metazoa; Chordata; Mammalia; Lagomorpha; Leporidae
Source: RefSeq, a predicted model, not a curated record
AUUAUUGAAGGAAUACCAAAUUCGCUAGGAGUGCAAUGAAUGAUGAGAAGGGAUAUAUGAGACAAGACCAGAAAUAUUGUCUGUUUCAAAUUCAAAGAUGACUUUUAUGGGUCAAGAUAAGAUUUUUAAAUUUUGUUGCUAAUUAUUACUUAAACUACUAAAGAGUUUUGAGCUGCUGUAAUCUGGAUUAUUUUUUAAAAGGACCACUAAAGUUGCUAUGUUGAAAUUAGAGAUUAGGAUCAAGGUGAAAUCAUGAAGACCAUUUGGGAUCAUUUCAGAUAGUAGUGAACAAACUUUAUAGAAAUAGAUGGAUUCUGGAUAAUUGGAGAGUAGAACUUAGAAUUUGGUGAAUGCUUUGACACAGGGAAGAUAAAAGACAAAAGAAAAAUGAAUCAAGCGUGAUGUAAGAUUUGAGAUGUGAGCAAGUAAAAUAGUGGAGUAAUUUCUUGAAAUUAUAAAUGUAGAGAAGCAGAUUAGGAGAGAUAUUCAACAAUUUCAGUUCAAUUAUGCUAAUUUUGAGAUAGCUAGCUGUUAUUCAAAUGUGUAUACAAAAAGGCUAUUGAAUAUCCAUGAGAGUUAGAGAGUUCAUGAAACAUUAGCAUUCGAUGUAAACAUUUUGAAGUUGACAGCAUAUAGAAGGCAUUUGAAACCAUAAGUAAUAAAAUACAAUUAUCUAUAUAUUUAUGUUUAAAAAAUAAGAGAAGGGCAGGUAUUUGGAAAAGCAGUUAAGAUACUGCCUGGGAGGUCUUCAUCACAGAUUGGAGUGUCAGAGUCAAGUUCUGAUUCUAGAUUCUUGCUAUUGUACACCCUGGGGAGCAGCAAGGGAUGAUGACUUAAAGUAAGUCCCUGCCACUCACGAUGGAGACUCAGAUGAAGUCUCUGCUCUGGCUUAAAUCAAGUCCCAUCACAAUUGUUGCAGGAAUUUGGGAAAUGAACUAACAGAUGGAAGAUUUUUCUCCCUAUAGCUUUCCCUAUAUCCUAUACCACUUACAAAAAUAUAACUAAUUAACUAACUAACUAAAUAAAUAUAUAUAUUUUUUUUUUAGUAGAGGAAAGGUCUUAGGUCUGAGCCUUGGGGAAAUUCCAAUAUUUACUGAACAUAACAAAGAAGAGGAUCCAGUAUAGAAAACUAAAAAAGAAAUUAACAGUGAGUAUAUUUAACAAAUGAUAAAGAAAGCAAUUUUUCAGGAUCCAAAGGAAGAAAGUAUAUCAAGAAAAAUAUUCAGCUAAUAGUACAAAAUAGAGGCAAGUUUUUGUGAAUAAAAUUCGAAUGGAGUGUUUGACGAAGAUUGUGAAGAUAGGAGGUCAGGAAGGAGACAAAAUCUCAUCCUCCCACAAAUCACAGUCCGUGUUUACUGUGCAAAACUCACAGGGCAUCCUCUAUCAUGGGGACUCGGUGGCACACAGCACUGAAAGAAGACUGGUCCUUCCACACUUACAUGGUUAAUUUUGAAAUUGAGAAUAAUCUACACAUUCAAAAUCUCCUGUGACCUGGAAGAAGCGCAAAUAUGACCCAGGAAAUUCAGAGAGCCCUCCUGGAACACAGAGGACCUCUUCUCUGCGAGUGUUCGGAGGGAUUGGUGCUGAGCCCAGUGCAGCAGAGCAGGGACAGGUCAGCCCUUUCAUAAGGAUAAGUUAUUUCUCUAUAAAAGUAUGCUGCCUGACAGACAGGGGCAAGAAGCACUAAUUCACAGGCUUUUAGUGGCUGACAGACACUUCACAUUCAUAACGCGCUCUCUGCUUGCAACAGCCAUUAAACCAGUGGCAGGAGUUUGGGGCCUCCAAAGAGUGCAAGAUGACCUUGGUCAGGGUCGGUAGGAAAGAGGAAAAAGAGGUAGCACGGAGAGAUACUGAUAUCUGCUCUUCAACAGUGAAAACAGAAUUAACAUGACCCAAGACUGUUACCAUUUAACUCAAAAGUUUCUCACCCAUCUAGAUAACCUGAUCUUCAAUGGUUUCACGUUACAAUUUCAUAGAUUCUAAGAGUCAGGAAGAGAAACUAGAUUAAUCCCCUCUUGUACAGGGGUCCACACAGGGUGAGUUAUCAGUUUUCUUAGAUCUUGGUAUACUUAUUGUCAAACUCAGAAUGGAAGGGGUGGUAAAGGAAGACUCAUUUAAUAUAUAAUUUAGUACAUCUGAUAUUUCUACAAAGUAUAUUUAUCGUGUGAUUGUAGAUGCUAAAAAAGUGAAACAUUGAACUUGCCUAUUUAAAUUACAGGCAAAAACGAAAGGCAUAUGUAGCUAGAAUAAUUCUAGUAAUGAUCAUGCAUAUUAACUAUUUCUAUAUGAGGAACUAUACUAAAUGCCUCAUAGAUUUUUUCAUUUAGGGCUCACUAGCUCUAUAUGAGGCUGGGAGAUUUGUUUUCUUAUUUUGCAGAAAAUAUAGUAGAGGCUAAGUAAGGUCAAGACAUGUGUUUAUAACCCCAUGGUUAGUGGGACGCCGAGCUGGUGUUCAAUUUCAACCUGAACUCACUCCAUAACUGCAGAUGUGUUCAGGCUCUAAAGAGAAGCAGCAAAGGGCAGAAGCUAUGAACAUAAACUUUGGAGACCCACAUUUUUAGUUUCAAUAUGGGUUUUGCUAUUUACUAGCUAUGAGGCCUUAGGCAAGAUAUCUCAUGUCUCUUUGCCUCAGUUUUCUACUCUUUGAAAUGGAGAUUUCAUCCAACUAACUCACCUGUAAAACAUACUGACACGUAUACUAAGGGCUACUGUGAAAGCAAAUUAAAUUAAAUGUUUGAAAGAUUUAGAACCGUCUGCUAGACAGUACAGACUUUAUAAGCAUUACAUAGUAUUUUUAUUAAAUGUAAAAACAGAAGAAUUUUUUUGAAAUAAAAUAUAGUCUAGAAUCUCUUAUGACUCAGAAAAUAUUGGAAAAUCAAUGAGUCAGGCAAUAUGAUACUUGUUGAGAGAAUGAUGAAAAGGCCUGACACAAUCCUUGAUACCAAAAAUAGAAGUUUAUUAUAAAAUCAAUCAAUCAAUAAACCCACUCUUUUUAACAUUCACAAAACAUUACAAGUAUUUAUAGUUAUUUUUCAAAUAAGGAAAUUGACACUUUAAAGGUACACUUGCCAAAGAUUAUAGGAGCAAUGAAGGACUGAAGAGAAUUACAUCUGGGUACUUAUUUUGCUAAUUAUAAAAUCUGUGUUCUCAGACACUCCCUUAUCCUGCAUCAGAAAAGUGGAUGUGUCUGGGGAUGGUGUUGUGGUAGAGCAGGUAAAGUUGUCGCUUGUGACGCUGGCAUCCCAUAUGAGCAUCAGUUUGAGUCCCGGCUGUUCCACUUCCAAUCCAGUCCCCUGUUGAUAUACCAAGGAGGGCAGUGGAAAAUGGCCCAAGUGCUUGGGUCCUGCACCCAUGUGGAGAUCUAGAGGAAGCUACUGGCUCAUUGCUUCUGCCUGGCCUAGCACUGGCUAACGUGGCCAUCUGGGGAAUGAACCAGCUGAUGGAAGAUCUCUCUCUCUCUCUCUCUCUCUCUCUUUUCUCAUUCUCUGACUCUCCCUCUCUAUCUCUCUAACUCUGGCUUUCAAAUAAAUGGAUGAUACUUUAAAAAUUUUUUAAGGUGGAUGUGACUUAUUAUAACCUAAGAAAGGAACAGGAAAUACUAGUAGCCAGGCUGACAAAGGGAGCCAGAAUUUGGACUUAAAGGUCAUAGCUCUUUUAUUCACCGAAUUCAUAAAAUAUUUGAAAUUACUAAAAAUAUAAAGAAAACUCUAGAAUUGUUAAGGCUAUUUUGUAUCAGAACUGAACUAUAGUUACAUUUAGAUCCAGUUACAGAAGAGAUUUUCUACAUUCCUUAUAGCUAGCCUACCCAUUCAUCCUGCCUGGCAUAAACUUUUUUCCAAUAUAAAGAGCAAGCAGCUGAUCAUCAGAACCACGUAAAAGGCUGAAAAUUAUAAAUUUCACUAUUUUCAAGGACAAAAUUAGAGAUAGAUUCAAUCUCCAAAUAGGAAAGAUAAAGUAAUCAAAAGGAGAAUAUAUUUAUGACUCUGUAAUUAGAAAGAAUUUACAAAUCAAGGCCCAAGAAUCAUAAGCCAAGAAAAUAUUGAUGGAUUUUCACACAUCAACAUUAAAAUACAACUGGCAUAAGAUAGUAUUGAGAAAGUUAACAGUCAGGUGCCAGAUUCAGAAAAGAUAAUUGCCAAGUUAAUAACUGAUGAUGAAUUAAUCAGAGUUCCUGAAAAAAAGCAAAAAUGGUCUGUGAGCACCUAAAGAAAAUGUGAGUAAGUUAUUUGAUUAACACAUGAAGAACAACUUGAGAGAUGACUUAGUUGGAUGAAAUAUUCAACCUCAAUACUGAUCAGACUAAUGCAAAUUAUGGCAAUAAUUAGACAUGAUUUUACACAAUCUGAGUAGCAACUGUCAGAAAAACUAGCCCUGCAAGCUUUGUGAUGGUAGGUCAAAUUGUAACCCUUAUGCACUGUUGAUGGAACAUAAAGUAACAAACGAUGCUGGGAAAACUCACACGGCAUUUAUCCUGUCAGCAUGACCACACUUUAAAUAUAGCCACUAAGCUCCUAUGUAGAGGUCCCAGAGAAACUUUUACACAGGGACACAAGGUCUGUUUAUUCUAUUGUACAUUAUCCCUUUUUCACAGGUGGUUGUUAAGAGGUGGUGCAAUCUAGGGUAUAUCAGAUUUAAAAAUGAAACACAUGCUGAAGAUUUACAUUAGGCAAUAUUUAGAUUUGCACUAGGCAAUGUUUGGAAAGAUUGAACUAGAUCAAAUAUGGUGAUGUUUAUCCCCCAAAGUAUGAUGUUGAGGAAGAAAUUAUAAAAACAUUAAAAUAUGGAUAGCCAUAAUUUCAAUGUCAUAGACCUAUACAACAAAUCAUGUAUUUUUCUGACUUUGAUAUAUGUAAAAAAUAUAAAAGUAAGGAAAUAUUUGAAUAGAAAUUUGUAGGUCUCCAUCAGGAGAGGGAAAUAAGUUUAUGAGUAUAUAAUGCAGGGAAAAUAAUAAAUUACAUAAUGACUAUGCACUAUGAAUAUUAGAGUAGCUAUGACUAUUUGAGAUAAAGAGAACAAAUAAAGGCAUUAGACACAAUAAUAUUUUAUCAUUUAUUGAAUUUUAGUGCAUGUAUGACUCUACACUGUGUACAAUUCAUUAAUUAUCACAUUUAAUUUUCACAAAAUAUUAUGAAGAAACAUAAUUCUAAAGAGAAGAAAAUUGAAAUGUCAGAAGGGAAAAUUUUUAAAGGUUACAAGAAUAAUGAGGAGCUGAUACAGAAUUACUACUUAGGUCACUAUUUUUCUGAGUCAACAGACUAUUUUUAUCUACUUAAUUUUCCUACCUCAUGACUGUUUCAAGAGACAGUUCUACAUAGACGUAUACAAAGAAGAUAAUAAACUAAAAACUAAUGUUAGCCUGGAGGUUUUAUGAAUCAUUUUAGUUUUGAAUUUCCAAAUACUAUUCACCUUGGAGAAUCUAAAGCAACACAACAAAAGCUAAUCUUGGAUCUGCUGUGUUCCAUACAUAAGGAGACAAUAGGUAGGGAUGAGAUCCCCAACCCCUAGAAUUAUGUUUGGCAGACAUUAGGUAGCGGGUGAUUGUUUUUCAAAUGAGAAAAUGGCUCAAUCAAGAGAUAAGCUUAAAUUGGGGUUGAAGUGGAAUGUAAAACAGUUCAAGUUUUAAACAAUAGACAUGUCUAGACAAAGAAGAUUAGAAUCAAAAACUAAAUUAAAGGUUGUGUCACAGAUGGCGAAAUCACAAACAAUUUAAUUUAUUUGGUCAUCUGGGUAGCCAUUAUAAGCAAGUGUCAAGAAAGAAUCAGUGGAAAAGUUUGAUGUGGUUUCAACAAUGAAUAAAAGUUAAAACCAGAGAAGUAAGCUGGUCGGACGCCAAGGUUGGUGCUCAGUCAGCACUGUGGACCGACACAAGAGUCUUUACUGAAGCCAUUGCCCUGGUUCAGCUAGAUAAAAUAAUUCCUGCCACCCUAUUUCAUACUGCUCUUCCUUGAGCAUAAAGAGUUCAUGUCUCCUGAAUCAGUGGAAGAGCUUGCAUAGUCUUCCUUCUAAUAAACCACACCCUGUGGUGUGGCUAUACUCCAAGGGGAGGUAUUCAUUUUAGUUUCAUGAUUGAAAACAGUGAUUACAAGGAACACCUGAAGGUUAUCUUCACCAAUAACACUUUUAUCUAUAUUCUCUUACUCUGGGACCUGCUUCAUUUUUGCCUCUGUACUUGACCUGAGGCAAGGUACUUAUAUGUAGAAUGAGAAUUUCAUCCCGCAUUUAAUAAGGAUCAAAAAGCUACAUUAAUUAAAGCUGAACUUCAUAACACAAAUGCCCAAAUUCUCCUGCAGAAAGCCAAGCUUAUAUUUGUGCUUACACUCAUCAGCAAUUACACUGCCAGUAUGCAAAAUUUCAGUAGGCAAAUGUUGGCAGACUUAAAUUAAAUAAAGAAGAAUCCUUAUUUCAGAAUAACCAGAGGCAUCUUAUGUCACCAGGAAGAAUCUAGAUAAAAAUAGAAUGCCUAGGUACUAAGAGUUGAGGCAGGCAUUUAUUUUCUUUAAAGAUGUUUUAUUUAUUUAUUUGAAAGGUAGAGUGAUAGACAUACAGAGAGAGAGAGGUCUUCCUUCCGUUGGUUCACCCCCCAAGUGGCCGCUACGGCUGGCACUGCACCGAUCCGAAGCCAGGAGCCAGGUGCCUCCUCCUGGUCUCCCAUGCAGGUUCAGGGGCCCAAGCACUUGGGUCAUCCUCCACUGCCUCCCCAGGCCACAGCAGAGAGCUGGACUGGAAGAGGAGCAACCAGGACUAGAACCCAGUGCCCAUGGGGGAUGCUGGCACCACAGGCAGAGGAUUAGCCAAGUGAGCCACGGCGCCUGGACCGAGGCAGGCAUUUAUCACAACCAUUAAAACAUCAGUUGAGAUGUCCACAUCCCGUAAGUGACUAUUUGAGUUUCAGUCCUGGCUCUGGCUUUUGUUCCCAGCUUUCUGCCUAUGCUUGACCUUGGGAUGGUCCAAGAUAUUGGAUCCCUGCCAACCAUGUAAGAAAUCUGGAUUCAGUUCCUGGCUCCCAAGUUUGACUCUAGGCUAGCCCAAGCUGUUGCAGGCAUUUUUGAAGUAGAACAUUAUACCAAGUAGCUCAAGUUGGUGGCCAGAGACAAGAAUUAGAGUCAUUCGUCCUGCUUAGUAGACUAGGUCCCCCACUUUUCUUGUCAUUUCCUUUAUAUGAGCCUUUUGACCAUUUUACCACAAAUUUUAAGUGACCUAUAACCCAAUCACUUGAGUUUGUGUGUGUGUGUGUGUGUGUGUGUACUGCUAUCUAUUUGCCCCACUAACUCAACAUUACCACCCCGAGCCCUACUAGACUCUUCAUUCCUGUCCUGGGUGAACCUGAGAUGAAGAACUGCUUGCUUAACUCAUUGUGCCCUCCGUUCCCAGCAUCUGUAAGCAAAAAUCUGAGUUUGUUUUCUGUUGUGGAGAUUUAUUGAAUUUUUGACUUCCAUGGGGAGAACCAGUGAUUACCUUAGUCAAGGCUUUCCCUGAUAUACUAUGGACAACAGAGAUAUUGGGCUCCUAGCACUAGAGUAGAAGUCCUGCAGGCAUACACUAUACACAGGUCAGACAAGAGCCACAAGAGCCUCUGCCAAAAUAAGCAAGCUUCCCAUGGGAAGGACCCUUGGCCACAGGCCAUCCAACAAAAAGGAGUAUCUUGCAAAAGGAAAGCUAUAAAUGUUUACAUUCAGCCUCCCUUAAGCCGCCAUUAAGGCAAGGUACUAGAUACCGUGGUUCUGGAACCCCAGUGUAUCUGGGGCUCCCAAAACAUACACACACACAUGUACACACACACACACAAGUUCAAAUUCAGCUGGGUAAAGUCUGGGACAAUAAAUACUAACAUGGUAAUUCUCUUUCUGAAACUCCCAGUAAUGAUUCAGUGACUCCCUGCCUGCCUGCCUGCCUUCCUCCUCCUCUUCUUGCUCUUCCUCUUCCCCUUCUUGUCCUUCUCCUUCCCCUCCUCCUCCUCUUCCUUCUUCUUUUCUUCUUCUUCUUCUCUUCUUCUUCUCCUUCUCCUCCUCCUCCUACUCCUCCUCCUUCUUCUUCUUCUCUCUCUCUCUCUCUCUCUCUCCCUCUCCCUCCCUUCUUCCCUCCCUCCCUCCCUCCUCUUUGAAAGGGAAAGAGAAAGAGAGACCCUGACUCUUCCAUUUGCCAGCUCACUCCCCAGACAGCCAAAAUCUCUGAGAUGAAGCUAGGGGCCAGAAUCUCCUUGUGGUCUGCCACAUAUGUGGCAGGGACUCAAAUCCUUGGGCCAUCAUCUGCUGCAUUUGAAGCCUAUUAACAGUGAGCUGAAUCCCAAGUAGAGUAGUCACAAUUCAAGCACACUCAGAUAUAGGAUGCAGGCAUCCCAUGCGGAGACUUCACCCACUGCACCAUAACAUCUACUCCAAAUUAGCUGAUUUUCAGUUAGCGAGUUAUUCUUCUCACUCUGCUUCAACUCCUAUAUGUUAAAUGGGAAUAAUGAAAGUUGUCUUUUAUGUCUCAUAGAAAUCUUAUGGGUAAAUUAGAUUACACACACCACACACACACACACACACACACACAUAUACAUUUGGAAAUUGUGAUACAAAUAAUUUGGAAAAUGUGAUACAAACUGCUAAUUAUUAGUGACUAUCUAUGGCCAGGAAAGAUACACUUUAAUUAAUAAUUUCAAACUAUAGAAAAUUUUAUUUUCUUUCAUGUAUGGAUACAAUAGUAGAAGGAAAAGUGUGAACAUUCAAAAUUUAGGAAAUACUUAUUCAAGAUGGAAUUGAAAACGAUUUGCAACAGAGAAAUUCAAAACAGGAGACAUUCUUAAAUUCAAUAAAAUAUAUAAAGAAACACUGGUUAUACCCACAAAGUAAUGAGGUGGCUUCCUGGGAGAAAUGAGACUAUGCAGUGAGAAAGAAAAAGUGGAACACAAAGAACAUAAGAAUAACUGGACAGGGGCCAGUACUGUGGUGUAUCGGGUAAAGCUGCCACCUGCGAUGGGUGCCAGCAUCCCAUAUGGGUGCUGGUUUGAGUCCUGGCUAUUCCACUUCCAAUCCAGCUCUUUGCUAUGGCCUGGGAAAACAGUAGAAUAUGGCCCAAGUGCUUGGGUCCCUGUGUCUGUGGUGGAGUCCCAAAAGAGGUUCUUUGCUCGUGGAUUUGGAUUGGCCUAGCUCUAGCCAUUGUGGCCAGUUGGGGAGUGAACCAGUGGGUGGAAGACCUUUCUCUCUGUCUUUCAUUCUCUCUGUCUGUAACUUUACUUCUCAACUAAAUAAAUAAAUCUUCAAAAAUAAAUGAUUAUAGAGAACUUAACCCUCUUUAAGUUUCUUUAAAUAUUUCAAUGUAAUAUUUGUGUCUUUAUUCUUAUUCAACUAUUUACAUAUGUACAGUUUCACCAAGAAUUACUGAUUUAAUAUUAUUUCCAGAUCUCCUCUUAUUGCCUUUUCUUUCCUGGACUUGAAGUCCCUCAUUAAAGUCUUUAAAAUAUGCUCAAGGUUUUAAAAACAAAUCAACAGAUGAUUUCUUUAGAGUGGUACAUCCUCCUGAAAUAUUAAAUGCAUUAUUAGGAGCUUAUGAAGGAUAUUAGGACCAUAAGAAAGAAGUCUUGAGAAUUCACAGGCAGUCAAAGUGUGGCUGGAAACAUAACCAAACUCUUAACAACAGAGAGCAGUUGUAGAUUUUAGUGAUUUAGAUGGCUUGGUAUAAUGAGAUAAACCUGAACUUCAGAGUAAAAAUAUCUGGAUUUCAAUCCUCUCACUAUCAUUUAUUAACUGUGGGGAAUACUCAGAAUGUAGUAUCAUGGCCAAGGGGCAUAUUUGAUCUUAUUUAAAAGAAGAAAAUUGUCUGCUUUCUAAGGUUACAGAGAAGAAAAAUGAAAACAAAAGGAGAGCGUAUAUAUGUAAGGACUUCAUAAGCAAUAAAACAUGAUACAAAUUUAAUACAGUUUUGCUGUUCUUACAAACACAGAACUAAAUACUCUAUUCUAAAAUUAUUUGAAUUCAGUAAAAGUGUGUGAUAUUCUAACAAAUUGAAUCCCCUAUAGUCAUAAUAGCUAUUAUUUAUUGAAUUCUUAUUAUUUGCAAAGCAGCAUGCCAUGUGCUUUACAACCCUAUCCAAUUUGAUUCCUGAAAUACAGUCAAUUUCACUAGCAGUUAACUGUGGAUGUGGAAUUAAAUACUGGCCUACCCAGGCCUGCAAGUAAAAUAUCCUCAUUAUCUUUAUUUUGUCUUGUUCCUCAGAGCCUCUUCGUAUACAAGUGCUUAGGUCAAUCUUUGCUUCCAAGCACUGAAAAACACUGAAUAUUACAGAUUAACUAUCCUACAUAUAAGAGUUCUUCAAUCCUUUCCCUAAUCUUUAUAAGAAAAGAAUGUUAUAAUAUCCCACAUCUUGGACUUGUCCCAAGAUGGCAGAAUAGUGAGGGCGCGCACCGAUUGUCCGGGAAAAUUUAGUUUAAUGAAAGUGGAGUUACGGUAGCCUCAGAAAAAGGAUCAGGAAAAAAUUGCAGAGGAAACUCUUCCAGAUCUAGUGGCUGUGACUCAGAGGACCUACUGGGAGAGCAGGGUCGCCCACCGCAUGGAAGCCGAACCGCGGGAGCCUCAGAGUCUGCGCGCCAGUGCGGGAAGGGGAGUGGAUGUGACACAGACACCAGCGGGAGAGGAGGGACGCCCAGGGCUUCGAGUCCACACAUCGGCGCUGGAAGGUGAGGUGAGCUCAGUAACCGGAGACAUUGGCUGGGAAACAGCGGACAGAAUUUUAGAGGGAAGUGGGCUUUGAAGCGGGAGAGUUCACCAGACUAACUACAGGAGAGAAGGAAAAAAAAAAAAAAAAAGGUGGGGGCGUACUGAUACAGACAAGUUUCUCUCUCCACCAACCUUGCAAAGGCAAGCAAGAGACAAAGAGCAAGCCCCGCUUGGGAUAUACAUAAUAAAGGGGGAGUAUUAAGGCUACAAUUCAAUAGCCUAGGCAACCCAGUGGGAGUCUGCAGGAGAAACCGAGCCUGCACAGACUCUUUGGGUAGAAGCCAGAGAGUGGAAGCUAAAUACCAUCAAUGCUGCUCAGCCUUCCAGUAUUACCUACCUCCUGAAUAAAAAAUAAAAUAAAAUAAAUAAAUGAAUAAAUAAAUAAAUAAAGAGGGAUUUACCAUGCAUAACCUAAGGGUGUCACCUUUGCACACCCAUAACCCUGAAGAACCAAGCAGAGCUCUCAGGCAACACCCAUCUCAAGCCUCCAAGGCUCCUCCAACAGCAGGCAGUCCACUUAACACAGACAUAGUAUAAAAAAAAAAAAAACUCACGGUGAGGGAAAAAGAAUUAACCAUGCCAAGCAAUAAACACAGAAAUCGAGGGAACAAGAUCAACAAUGACACUAUGACGCCUCCAAAUAAACAAAACACCCAAGCCAAGAUUAUGAAGAUGAUGAGAUAGAAGAAUGCAAGAUACGGAUUUCAAAAAAUUUAUGAUAAGAACAUUUAGAAGUUUUCAAAAGCAAAUCCUUAAACUACAGAAAUCCUUAUUGGACAGGAUUGAAAAUCUCUCUCGUGAAAAUGAAAUUUUAAGGAAGAAUCAAAAUGAAAUGCAGAAACUAGUAGAAGAGGAAAGUGUGAUAGUGAAAUCAAAAUGAAAUGAAGAGCUCAAUAGAUCAAAUGACAAACACAUUAGAGAGCCUUAUAAACAGAAUGGGUGAAGCAGAAGAGAGAAUAUCGGACUUAAAAGACAGAGAACAGGAAAGGAUACAGUCAAACCAAAGAAAAAAAGAGGAAAUCAGAAAUCUAAAAAAUAUUGUUGGGAAUCUACAGGAUACUAUUGAAAAAACCAACAUUCGGGUUCUAGGAGUUCCUGAAGGCAGGGAGAGAGAGAAAGGAUUAGAUGGCCUUUUUAGUGAGAUACUAGCAGAGAACUUUCCGGGUCUGGAGAAGGACAGAGACAUCCUAGUACAGGAAGCUCAUAGAACCCCCAGUAAUCAUGACCAAAAGAGAUCCUCACCAUGACACGUUGUAAUUAAACUCACCACAGUGAAACAUAAAGAAAAGAUCCUAAAAUAUGCAAGAGAGAAACGUCAGAUUACUCUCAGAGGUUCUCCAAUCAGACUCACAGCAGAUUUCUCAUCAGAAACACUACAGGCUAGGAGGGAAUGGCGAGACAUAGCACAGGUGCUAAGAGAGAAAAAUUGCCAGCCCAGAAUAUUAUAUCCUGCUAAGCUCUCAUUUGUGAAUGAAGGUGAAAUAAAGACCUUUCAUAGCAAACAGAAAUUGAAAGACUUUGUGGCCACUCGUCAGGCCCUGCAAAAGAUGUGCUACACUCAGAAACACAGAAACACGGCCAUCAAUAUGAAAGAAGGUAAAGGAAGAACACCUACCAGUAAAAGAGCAUGGGAAGCUCAAAGCAUAUACUAGAAAAUAUCUCCGGGAAAAUGGCAGAGCAAAGUCACUAUGUAUCAAUAGUCACAUUAAAUGUUAAUGGUCUUAACUCUUCAGUUAAAAGACACCGAUGGGCUGAUUGACUUAAGGAACAACACCCAACUAUUUGUUGCCUACAAGAAACACAUCUCUCUAACAAAGAUGCAUGCAGACUGAAAGUGAAAGGUUGGAAAAAGAUAUUCCAUGCCAACAAAAACCAAAAAAGCAGGUGUAGCCAUAUUAAUAUCAGACAAAACAAACUUUAAUACAAAAACUGUUAAGAGAGACAAAGAGGGACACUAUAUAAUGAUUAAGGGUUCAAUUCAACAGGAAGACGUAACUAUUAUAAAUGUGUAUGCACCUAAUUACAGGGCACUGGUCUAUUUAAAAGAUAUGUUAAGGGACUUAAAGGGAGACUUAGACUCCAAUACAAUAGUACUGGGGGACUUCAAUACUCCACUCUCAGAGAUAGAUAGAUCAUCCGGACAGAAGAUCAACAAGGAAACAGCAGAUUUAAUCGACACUAUUGCCCAAAUGGAUCUAACAGAUAUCUACAGAGCUUUUCAUCCUACACUUAAAGAAUUUACAGUCUUCUCAGCAGUACAUGGAACCUUCUCUAGGACUGACCACAUACUAGGCCAUAAAGCAAGUCUCAGCAAAUUCAAAAGAAUUAGAAUCAUACCAUGCAGCUUCUCAGAACAUAGUGGAAUGAAGCUGGAAAUUAGCAACUCAGGAAA